ACGACUCUCGGCAACGGAUAUCUCGGCUCUCGCAUCGAUGAAGAACGCAGCGAAAUGCGAUACUUGGUGUGAAUUGCAGAAUCCCGCGAACCAUCGAGUUUUUGAACGCAAGUUGCGCCCAAAGCCAUUCGGCCGAGGGCACGUCUGCCUGGGUGUCACGCAACGU
RNAcentral lists this ribosomal RNA (166 nucleotides) under Astraea lobata. Its description in RNAcentral is "5.8S ribosomal RNA". It matches the Rfam family "5.8S ribosomal RNA". From Rfam's summary of the family: 5.8S ribosomal RNA (5.8S rRNA) is a component of the large subunit of the eukaryotic ribosome. It is transcribed by RNA polymerase I as part of the 45S precursor that also contains 18S and 28S rRNA. Functionally, it is thought that 5.8S rRNA may be involved in ribosome translocation. Lineage: Eukaryota; Viridiplantae; Streptophyta; Magnoliopsida; Malpighiales; Euphorbiaceae. The record is from RNAcentral.